This is a long non-coding RNA of Sycon ciliatum, 2055 nucleotides long. RefSeq lists it as uncharacterized. NCBI's taxonomy places the organism in Eukaryota, Metazoa, Porifera, Calcarea, Leucosolenida, Sycettidae. The transcript is spliced from 3 exons. The record is from RefSeq and is a predicted model, not a curated record.
UUUGGGAGCUAGAACGCGAUCGGACUCAGGCAUAUUCAAAGGCAGUCUAUUGUGAUAGUAGUCCUGGACUGAUCUCACUAUGAUGAUAUAGGUCGUGCCCAGCAUCACAAUGCCAAACAUUAUAAAUGACUGUUUUUUUUGCCUGAGGGGCUAGAUGAGCAUGCGGCUAGACUGCCGAUGGCAACCAACAGGCUCAAGGCUGUGUUGAGACUUCGUGUGUGCGACCCGAGUCAAUUGUUUACUCGCCAUGACCAGGCAUCGCAUUGAGCAUCGUAUGCCCACUAAUAUUAUGUCACUGUUCUUAGUCGCACCGGGGGGCGCAUGCCCGUUUUCAGGAGACUUCUCAAAACACAUAAGCCCUGGGUCCUGAAGGUUAGGCCUAUUGUUAAUCUAAAUAGUCCUGGCUACUAUCCCGCUGAGUUCACUGACUUUCUACUGAACCCGUAUGUAUGUGAGGAAAGUACUGUUCUAACCUCAACUGCGGAUUUCAUCAACUUGGUAGAAGGUUUGCCUGUGCGGGACGAUCAUUUAUAAUUGAGUAUUAGGGCUCAAACGGUCACGGUUUUACCCUAAACGGUUAACUGCUAAGCUAACGGUCGGUUUAACGGUUAUAACCUAUAAGCCACGGCAAUCCUGCGGAAUCUUUUUUAACCGUAUAUUUGACUACACUGUAUACUUAUUCAAAAAAUGUACCCUAUUCCGUACAACGCACACAUGUACAUUCUCUUGCAUGCUCAUUCAUACAUACUCUCACACGAAGAGACCAGAUAUGACCGAGUUGACAGCCCAGAAAUAAUUUGCGUACGCGUGCGACAGCCUGCAUACUUUGCAACGACCUGAUACUUAAAAAAUUGACUGAAAAGUUACUGCGUAACCGUUAUCUUUAUCGGUUAACCGUUAAUUCUUCCUAACCGGUCUGCAACCGGUUAAUCGGACUAACCGUUUGAGCCCUAUUGAGUAUAGAUGUGACCAGCCUUUACUACACCAACAUCCCCAACGAGCUCGGUUGUCGUGGUAUAUCACACACAGGUGUACAAGGUGGAUGCCCCUCGCCCUUCGUACAUGGUUAUUAACAGCAGUGACUUCCUUGAUGUCAGUCAUUCGGAAGAAAAAUGAGUUCGUGUAUGGUAACGAUGUGUUUCGGCAGAUCCAAGGGACUGCCAUGGGUUCGCCUGCAGCAGUGGUCUAUGCCGACAUUGUUAUGCUGUAUUUGGAGAAGCGGUACGUUUUGCCGAUCUUAGAGGGGGAGGGUUUAGAGGUUCAGGUUUAUAGACGCUUUAUCAUUGCAUGGUUGCGAAGGUCAAGUUCAGCGCACUUUAGAUAGGAUUAAUAAGUGUUCGGCCCUCAAGUUUUCUCAUGAACUGGCACAUGAUGGCAUUGAUUUCCUGGACACCACAGUUUUCCGUAGUAAGGGAUACAUGGCUGUGAAGCCUCAUUUCAAGUUCACCAAUCGUUUCCUGUAUCUGCUUGUCGGUAGUAACCACCCCUGUAGUAUGGGCAAAGGUGUGUUCACUGGGGAGUUGAUCCGUAUCCGUCGGUCUUCGACCCUUGACCACCACUACGAAGCUGCUGCCGAGCGGCCGAAGCAGGCUUUCCGGGCCCGUGUAUACAAGCGCUCCAUCUUUCAUCUUUCAGACCCGCUCACUAGGAAUGGAUGCGCAGGGAAGAGUUCUAGCAUCCGUAGCUGCCUCAGGGGGUGCCACUUCUCCCAUCAGCGUCGACUAAUCCGCCGAAAAUGUGCUCGCGCAUUAGAAGGAGGUGAAAGAUGCACCUGCAGGAGAAUACAUGCUUAAGAGAAGGCAGAAACAUGCCCGGAUCCACCAGAACUAUUGCUGGCAAGUCAACAGAGGCGGGUACUGAUAAUGUUCCAGAUUGUGGUAGGAUCACAUAAGCAAAAUUGACACUGGGAGGCACGGCGGUGGGUCAGCUCAUGGCCAGCGCCAGCUCCAGUGGAUAUCACGUGCAUCCAGUUCUAGUACUAUAGUAUGACUGCUACAAAGUAGUGCGGCCCAAAUAGAACUCGGGUCAGGUGCCGAAGAACUGGGGGGGGGGGGG